Molecule: transfer RNA, 113 nt
Filed under: Aspergillus calidoustus
Lineage: Eukaryota; Fungi; Ascomycota; Eurotiomycetes; Eurotiales; Aspergillaceae
Rfam family: tRNA
About the family: Transfer RNA (tRNA) molecules are approximately 80 nucleotides in length. Their secondary structure includes four short double-helical elements and three loops (D, anti-codon, and T loops).
Source: Rfam by way of RNAcentral
GCUCCCGUGGCCUAAUGGUAAGGCGUGUGACUUCUACAUCGCUUAAUUGAGAGGAGUCUCAAGUACGCGGUAGAGGUAUCCCAAGAUUGCGGGUUCGAGCCCCGCCGGGAGCU